UCCCUCGUGGUCUAGUCGGUAAGACGCUUGAUUCUGGAUCAAGAGUGCUGGGUUCGAAUCCUGGCGAGGGAG
This 72-nucleotide transfer RNA is filed under the name Actinoplanes lutulentus. Its description in RNAcentral is "tRNA-Gln". It matches the Rfam family "tRNA". Rfam says of the family: Transfer RNA (tRNA) molecules are approximately 80 nucleotides in length. Their secondary structure includes four short double-helical elements and three loops (D, anti-codon, and T loops). The record is from RNAcentral. Lineage: Bacteria; Bacillati; Actinomycetota; Actinomycetes; Micromonosporales; Micromonosporaceae.